GAGAGUCAAAAAGACCGCAAAACCGUUAGGAGGGAAACGAAUGCAGCUGAAGCGGCACCUCGCCGGGCUCAGGGAGUCGGCGCGGGGUCCUGGCGGGUCGCGGAAGCCCUUUGGCUCCGCUGGCGUCGUCGGGGGCCUCGCGUCGGCCCUGCACUUCCGCGAGGAGCCGGCCAACGGCGGUUGCCUUCGGCUCGGCGGGCGUCUGGGGAGGUGGCUCCGCGCUUGCGUGGAGACCGUACAGCCCGGGCGCGCGGCAGUUCGGGGGCGACCGAGGAGAGCGUUUGCGGUCCUUCGCACGCUGCGGCGCGGGCCGACUUAGGUCGGCUGCGUCCCCGCGUCGGGGCGGCUCCCGCUUGGGCGUACUGCUUGCAGUGCCCCGAGACGGCCGAGCUUUCCCGGUCGCGGUGGCACGACAACUCGCGCCGAGGUCGUUGGCGUCCGAAUGGCUGCAUCCGACCCGU
RNAcentral lists this ribosomal RNA (461 nucleotides) under Mycale sp. DC29. RNAcentral describes it as "partial 28S ribosomal RNA". Lineage: Eukaryota; Metazoa; Porifera; Demospongiae; Poecilosclerida; Mycalidae. The record is from RNAcentral.